Molecule: ribosomal RNA, 468 nt
Filed under: uncultured bacterium
Lineage: Bacteria
Description: partial 16S ribosomal RNA
Rfam family: Bacterial small subunit ribosomal RNA
Source: RNAcentral
GACGAACGCUGGCGGCGUGCUUAACACAUGCAAGUCGAACGGAAAGGCCCUGCUUUUGUGGGGUGCUCGAGUGGCGAACGGGUGAGUAACACGUGAGUAACCUGCCCUUGACUUUGAGAUAACUUCAGGAAACUGGGGCUAAUACCGGAUAGGAGCUCCUGCUGCAGGGUGGGGGUUGGAAAGUUUCGGCGGUUGGGGAUGGACUCGCGGCUUAUCAGCUUGUUGGUGGGGUAGUGGCUUACCAAGGCUUUGACGGGUAGCCGGCCUGAGAGGGUGACCGGCCACAUUGGGACUGAGAUACGGCCCAGACUCCUACGGGAGGCAGCAGUGGGGAAUAUUGCACAAUGGGCGGAAGCCUGAUGCAGCAACGCCGCGUGCGGGAUGACGGCCUUCGGGUUGUAAACCGCUUUCGCCUGUGACGAAGCGUGAGUGACGGUAAUGGGUAAAGAAGCACCGGCUAACUACGUG